Molecule: transfer RNA, 84 nt
Filed under: Sphaerodactylus townsendi
Lineage: Eukaryota; Metazoa; Chordata; Lepidosauria; Squamata; Sphaerodactylidae
Description: tRNA-Ala
Source: RNAcentral
GGGAGGGGGUGCAGUGACUCCGUGGGAGAACGUCUGCUUGGCAUGCGGAAGGUCCCAGGUUCAAUUCCUGGCACGUCCCACUCA